Symphalangus syndactylus (siamang) is the source of this 1833-nucleotide long non-coding RNA. RefSeq lists it as uncharacterized. Lineage: Eukaryota; Metazoa; Chordata; Mammalia; Primates; Hylobatidae. The record is from RefSeq and is a predicted model, not a curated record.
UUGAGUGAUGGUAGAUAUUAGGCCCUGGUCUGCGGCUUGUAAGUUUCCUGUGAAUAAGAAAAACAUCAUCGCUUCUUGAGUCACAAGGAUGAUAGGAUGAGAAAAAGAAAGGACAAAGGCACCAGAGGAGGUGAGAACAUAUGAGAGGCAGGCUGAGAUCAAUUUUCUACCGGGCCAGCUAAUUCAUCACAAUGACAAGCUAUGGGUCAUAUGCUUCCAGGAACCAGACACUGGAACAUGUCGUCUGAUGUACAUCACACCAGUAAGUACUUUCUUAUGUUGAUAUUGAGUCAUUCUUUCAGUGAACAUUUUCUGCGUGCCUAUUGUGUGCCAGUCAUGGUACCACACGCUGGGAAUCCAAUGGGGAGUAAGAGAAAGUCCCUUUUCAAGGAGCUUACAGUGCAGUGGAAGACAGAAGGUCAAAAGGUAAUUCUCAUUUGAUGUGAAAAUAUUUAAAUUCUUCUGUUCACUUAAUUGAAGCGUGGUUAGGCUUUAUACCUGCUCCUGGUCUAAACAGUUCUUUAUAAAGCCCUUUCACGUAGAAACAAAGAAGGCAUUAGUUUACUGCCUGUAAAGAGAGCAGAUCAAGGCUGAGGAAGAGACAGAAGUCAGCAGAUGUCCUGGAAAUGUCACCAAUCUUUUCUGAGAAAAACAAAGGAACCGCUUCUUGGUUACCAGAGAAAUGAAAAAAGAAUUGGAAAGCCGAUGUCCAAUUAUUUACUAUAACAGAAUCCACUGGAGAGAAAUGUAAAGGCAGGUAAAAAGGCAAUCUCUUAACAUGAAAACUCACAACUGUAAAACGAGAACCUAAACCAUACAGCAACAAGCUCAGGAAAAAGUCUCCAGCUACUGCUGUCUCUCAGACUCUCACAAUAUGUGUAACCACUUCCUCCUCUGCACGGAAUCACCCCAGAAGAUCAACUCUACUAGAUCAUUUGAGGACAACGAACAAAGUCUCAAGACUGAAUUCCCACAGAAAACAUUCUCAUGAAACCACCCAAUAUUUUGGUGAAGUUAAAGAAGGGCAUGUGUUCGGAGACAACCAGAAGCAGCAAUGCUCAAAACCACAAAACUCUGGAUUGCCGACUCUGCACAUCCUGGUUUCUCUAGAUACAGUUCAGUGGCACAUUCACAAAUACAUGUUUUCAAAAAGUGCCCUCAGGCAGUUCUAGAGAAACGCUUUGACUUGCCUAAUAGUAUAAUGUCAAGAAAGGAAGACCAGCACUGAUCACUCAUAUUCAUUAUUACAGUCACAGGGCACUGUCUGACUUGACAGAUACAGCCGAGCAGUUGAAAGGUUAUGGGAAUUUAAGUCCAUUAUGGUCAUAUGAUUCUUAUGGACCCAGAGAUGUGAAAUUAAUCAGCCACAUGUGUAGGGACAAAGUUUGUCAUAAAUAGAUAUAAGUUAUCUGCAUGCUAAGAACUUAGAGAGUUACUUAACUCUGUUUCUUCAUGUUAAAAUAAACAUAAUUAUAGAAUGCAAAUGAAAUACUUAGCCUGGAGCCUAUUAUAUAGGAAGCACUCAAUAAUUUUAAACUAUUGAGUAUAUUAUUAGAUAGGCUCCAUAAUUAUUUAUUCCUUUUUCAACAGACAGUAUGAUCUAUUGAAAAUAAAGCCAAACUAGAUUUCUUUGACCCACUCCUUUUUCUGUUUGUACUGUUGGCAAGUUGAUUUAGAACAACUUGCCAACAUAUUAUUAACAUGUUAUUAACACAGAAGGGAUGCUUAUUUUGUUUGCUUCGUAAGAAAUGCUUCUGAUUCAGUAACUGGGCAAUUUAUUCAAAUAUAAGUAAAAAGCAGAUUUUAUUAAAAACUACUUUGUGCUAUCAUAAA